Molecule: RNA transcript, 820 nt
Organism: Dendrobium catenatum
Lineage: Eukaryota; Viridiplantae; Streptophyta; Magnoliopsida; Asparagales; Orchidaceae
Exons: 2
Source: RefSeq, a predicted model, not a curated record
AUCAGCUUUCACAGGGAUUGUGAUCAAAUUGGCAAUUAGAAAUGCCUAGAUUGAAUUGGGAUCAUAUCAAGAUUAUCACGAGUCUAAUAUGGCUCAGAUCAGUAUUAGGUCUGGUCAGUGUUGAUCUAUACUUGAUCCGAGAUUGGAGCAAGCUCAAGUUUGGAUCUUUAACAGUCAUAGAUAUUCCUGGGUCUAAGAACCUUGUUAAAAGGUUUACCAUGAGAGAGUUGCAAUCUACUUCAUACAACCAAAUUCAGUUGUCCCUGAAAAGAAAAAUUAUUAUAAACUCUCAGGUAUUGUCAAUGGAACUGCACCACAUCCAGUUUGGUUAUCGGAGAUGUGUGAUCAACUGGGGCAAGUUAUGGGCCGUUCAUCGUGGCUUCCAUUUCCUGACUUUGUGCUCAGAGCAGUAUUUUGUAAGGGUGCCACAAUAGUUUUGGAAGGUCAGAAGUUGCUACCAGUUAAAGCAAAAGAGCAUGGUUUCCAUUUUAAGUACCCAUUUGUCAAAGAUGCUUUCAGGGAUAUCAUUUCAUCUGGAAGCACUUAGGCUAUUGCAGUGACUACUGUCUGUAUCAUCAUGAUCCAGUGAAUUUUCUAUCAUGGUGGCCGAUGCAUGAUUUUCUUCAAACUCGGAUACUGGGAGAUUUUCCAUCUUAGUUAUUUACUCAUUUUAGGCCUUCUGGUUGCAAAAUAUGUUCUAGAUUAUUCAUUUAAUGAAAUUGACUGGUGAUUGGUUCUUGUGAUCUUGUUAUAUAAUGGUGAUGCUGCUUUCGUUGAAUGUUUUUUACUAUUUUUUGGGAAAUGAUGAGCAAUUCAUGAA